AUACGUAGGUGACAAGCGUUAUCCGGAUUUACUGGGCGUAAAGGGCGUGUAGGCGGUCUUGCAAGUCAGAAGUGAAAUUCCUGAGCUCAACUCGGGCGCUGCUUCUGAAACUGCAGGACUUGAGUGCUGGAGGGGAUAGCGGAAUUCCUAGUGGAGCGGUAAAAUGGGCAGAUAUUAGGAAGAACACCGGUGGCGAAGGCGGCUAUCUGGAAAAUAACUAACGCUGAGGCGCGAAAGCGUGGGUAGCAAACAGGAUUAGAUACCCUGGUAUUCCACGCCGUAAACGAUGAAUACUAGGUGUAGGGGGUGUCGACUCCCUCUGUGCCGCAGUUAACACAAUAAGUAUUCCGCCUGGGGAGUACGGCCGCAAGGUUGAAACUCAAAUGAAUUGGCGGGG
Molecule: ribosomal RNA, 397 nt
Filed under: uncultured bacterium
Lineage: Bacteria
Description: partial 16S ribosomal RNA
Rfam family: Bacterial small subunit ribosomal RNA
Source: RNAcentral